Molecule: ribosomal RNA, 253 nt
Filed under: uncultured bacterium
Lineage: Bacteria
Description: partial 16S ribosomal RNA
Rfam family: Bacterial small subunit ribosomal RNA
Source: RNAcentral
UACGUAGGGUGCAAGCGUUAAUCGGAAUUACUGGGCGUAAAGCGUGCGCAGGCGGUUCUAUAAGACAGAUGUGAAAUCCCCGGGCUCAACCUGGGAACUGCAUUUGUGACUGUAGAGCUGGAGUACGGUAGAGGGGGAUGGAAUUCCGCGUGUAGCAGUGAAAUGCGUAGAUAUGCGGAGGAACCCCGAUGGCGAAGGCAGCGCCCUGGCCGCCAUCUGACGCUCAGGCACGAAAGCUGGGGGAGCGAACAGG